Molecule: long non-coding RNA, 264 nt
Filed under: Serinus canaria (Common canary)
Lineage: Eukaryota; Metazoa; Chordata; Aves; Passeriformes; Fringillidae
Description: lncRNA (ENSSCAG00000002266.1)
Source: RNAcentral
CCAGGAUAGCGAAGGGCGCUCGAGGAGCAUUUUUGCUGAUGCAUCUCUAGUGACACCUUGUGGGAUGUUUCACAGAAUCGCCUACAGCUUUUUGGAUGGAAGCACUGGGCCAGCUGAGCCUGAGAGAGGCAGAAAGGGCUCUCAAACACCUGAAUCUAUGAGUCAGUUCAGAGGCCCUCUUCUAUUCAGAGACAUUCCACAAAACUCUGCUGUGAAAGAAUAACAGCUUUACCAAGGGAUUCACUGUGAGGAGCUCAAAAUGAA